This 275-nucleotide ribosomal RNA is filed under the name uncultured bacterium. RNAcentral's name for it is "partial 16S ribosomal RNA". It matches the Rfam family "Bacterial small subunit ribosomal RNA", at positions 338 to 630 of the family's 1533-position model. The record is from RNAcentral.
CCUACGGGUGGCUGCAGUGGGGAAUAUUGCACAAUGGGCGAAAGCCUGAUGCAGCAACGCCGCGUGAGCGAUGAAGGCCUUCGGGUUGUAAAGCUCUGUCUUCGCUGACGAUAAUGACGGUAAGCGAGGAGGAAGCCACGGCUAACUACGUGCCAGCAGCCGCGGUAAUACGUAGGUGGCAAGCGUUGUCCGGAAUUACUGGGCGUAAAGAAUGCGUAGGCGGCUUUUUAAGUGGGAUGUGAAAUCCCUGGGCUCAACCCAGGAACUGCAUUCCA